This 253-nucleotide ribosomal RNA is filed under the name uncultured bacterium. Its description in RNAcentral is "partial 16S ribosomal RNA". It matches the Rfam family "Bacterial small subunit ribosomal RNA", at positions 524 to 776 of the family's 1533-position model. The record is from RNAcentral.
UACGGAGGGUGCAAGCGUUAUCCGGAUUUACUGGGCUUAAAGGGUGCGUAGGCGGGCCUUUAAGUCAGUGGUGAAAUCUCCCCGCUCAACGGGGAAACUGCCAUUGAUACUAUUGGUCUUGAAUUUAGUUGAGGUGGGCGGAAUGUGUCGUGUAGCGGUGAAAUGCUUAGAUAUGACACAGAACACCGAUUGCGAAGGCAGCUCGCUAAACUAAUAUUGACGCUGAGGCACGAAAGCGUGGGGAUCAAACAGG